UGGUAUUCAGACGGUGGCUGUGGGGAAGCAGUAGCUUGAAAUAGACGAGUCUCUGGUUAACAUGCUGAGGAACUAAUCCAGAAUGGAUGUGAGAACACAUUCAGAGCCUCCUCUCCUAUACUGGCUGGCAGACUCAACAGGCUACAGUAGACUUAGGUCUUUAAUUCCUCUAGAGAAAUGCAUGAAGUUGCAGCAUCUUGGGGAACUGUGCACCAAUGGCCAUGGGCUCAGCAGGGGAUAAUGUCUGAGCAGGUACAGUGCAACUUCAAGGACACUGGUGGAAACAGGAAAAAGUGUAAGACAAGAAAGGAGUUUCUUCGUCCAAAAGAUUCUGCAGCUAUCCAUCUGUAGAAAUGACAUAGAAUUAUAUUUCAGACAUCAUCAGCAACUCUUCAUUUCUUGAAAAAUACAUGAAUUCCUAUUGCCCACAGUUCCCAAGUAGAACUACUUGAACAGAAAAAUGAGAACUGGGAAGUUAAAUUGGCUUCUUGGUUUUCAUUGUGAAAUACAGCAAAAUGCAGAAGGGAAGGCAGAGAUCACUGUUAGCAGAAAAGUGAAAAUAUCAGUACUUAAGUUGUUUUAUGCAGACACAUAAAAUUGUCCCCUUUUGAACAAAUGACUCAGAAGUCCUCCUUCAAUCUGUCUGGUGUAGUGACCUCUCUCCCUUCCUAUGUCACUUUGGUCUUGUUGGCUUUGAGUAU
Molecule: long non-coding RNA, 701 nt
Filed under: Anser brachyrhynchus (Pink-footed goose)
Lineage: Eukaryota; Metazoa; Chordata; Aves; Anseriformes; Anatidae
Description: lncRNA (ENSABRG00000012609.1)
Source: RNAcentral